RNAcentral lists this ribosomal RNA (165 nucleotides) under uncultured bacterium. RNAcentral describes it as "partial 16S rRNA". It matches the Rfam family "Bacterial small subunit ribosomal RNA", at positions 355 to 511 of the family's 1533-position model. The record is from RNAcentral.
UAGGGAAUCUUCGGCAAUGGGGGCGACCCUGACCGAGCAACGCCGCGUGAGUGAAGAAGGUUUUCGGAUCGUAAAGCUCUGUUGUAAGAGAAGAACGUGUGUGAGAGUGGAAAGUUCACACAGUGACGGUAACUUACCAGAAAGGGACGGCUAACUACGUACCAG